RNAcentral lists this ribosomal RNA (322 nucleotides) under uncultured Chloroflexota bacterium. RNAcentral's name for it is "bacterial SSU rRNA". It matches the Rfam family "Bacterial small subunit ribosomal RNA", at positions 28 to 351 of the family's 1533-position model. The record is from RNAcentral. Lineage: Bacteria; Bacillati; Chloroflexota.
GAUGAACGCUGGCGGCGUGCCUAAUACAUGCAAGUCGAACGGAGAUUGUAGCAAUACGGUCUUAGUGGCGAACGGGCGAGUAACGCGUUGAUGACCUGCCCCAAAGUGUGGGAUAACAGUUCGAAAGGAUUGCUAAUACCGCAUGUGGUCACUGGGAUUAGAUGCCCGGUGAUUAAAGGAGAAAUUCGCUUUGGGAGGGAUCUGCGUCCCAUCAGCUAGUUGGUAGGGUAACGGCCUACCAAGGCGACGACGGGUAGGGGACCUGAGAGGGUGGACCCCCGCACUGGCACUGAAACACGGGCCAGACACCUACGGGUGGCUG